RNAcentral lists this ribosomal RNA (468 nucleotides) under uncultured bacterium. Its description in RNAcentral is "partial 16S ribosomal RNA". It matches the Rfam family "Bacterial small subunit ribosomal RNA", at positions 28 to 507 of the family's 1533-position model. The record is from RNAcentral.
GACGAACGCUGGCGGCGUGCUUAACACAUGCAAGUCGAACGGAAAGGCCCUGCUUUUGUGGGGUGCUCGAGUGGCGAACGGGUGAGUAACACGUGAGUAACCUGCCCUUGACUUUGGGAUAACUUCAGGAAACUGGGGCUAAUACCGGAUAGGAGCUCCUGCUGCAUGGUGGGGGUUGGAAAGUUUCGGCGGUUGGGGAUGGACUCGCGGCUUAUCAGCUUGUUGGUGGGGUAGUGGCUUACCAAGGCUUUGACGGGUAGCCGGCCUGAGAGGGUGACCGGCCACAUUGGGACUGAGAUACGGACCAGACUCAGACGGGAGGCAGCAGUGGGGAAGAGGACACAAUGGGCGGAAGACUGAUGCAGAAACGCCGCGUGCGGGAUGACGGACUUCGGGUUGUGAACCGAUUUCGCCGGUGACGAAGAGGGAGUGAAGGUAAUGGGUAAAGAAGCACCGGCUAAAUAAGGG